GGCCUAAGUAACACUUUCAAGCC
RNAcentral lists this non-coding RNA (23 nucleotides) under Arabidopsis thaliana (thale cress). Lineage: Eukaryota; Viridiplantae; Streptophyta; Magnoliopsida; Brassicales; Brassicaceae. The record is from RNAcentral.